RNAcentral lists this transfer RNA (71 nucleotides) under Ictidomys tridecemlineatus (thirteen-lined ground squirrel). Its description in RNAcentral is "Spermophilus tridecemlineatus (thirteen-lined ground squirrel) tRNA". It matches the Rfam family "tRNA". Rfam says of the family: Transfer RNA (tRNA) molecules are approximately 80 nucleotides in length. Their secondary structure includes four short double-helical elements and three loops (D, anti-codon, and T loops). Further hydrogen bonds mediate the characteristic L-shaped molecular structure. tRNAs have two regions of fundamental functional importance: the anti-codon, which is responsible for specific mRNA codon recognition, and the 3' end, to which the tRNAs corresponding amino acid is attached (by aminoacyl-tRNA synthetases). tRNAs cope with the degeneracy of the genetic code in two manners: having more than one tRNA (with a specific anti-codon) for a particular amino acid; and 'wobble' base-pairing, i.e. permitting non-standard base-pairing at the 3rd anti-codon position. The record is from Rfam by way of RNAcentral. Lineage: Eukaryota; Metazoa; Chordata; Mammalia; Rodentia; Sciuridae.
UGAGGUGUAGCUUAGUGGUAGAGUAUUUGCCUAGCAUGCAAAGACUCUAGGUUCAAUCCCCACUACUAUAA